Molecule: ribosomal RNA, 497 nt
Filed under: uncultured bacterium
Lineage: Bacteria
Description: partial 16S ribosomal RNA
Rfam family: Bacterial small subunit ribosomal RNA
Source: RNAcentral
GACGAACGCUGGCGGCGUGCCUAAUACAUGCAAGUCGAGCGCUGAAGGUUGGUACUUGUACCAAUUGGGUGAGCAGCGAACGGGUGAGUAACGCGUGGGGAAUCUGCCUUUGAGCGGGGGAUAACAUCUGGAAACGAAUGCUAAUACCGCAUAAAAACUUUAAACACAAGGUUCAAGUGUGAAAGAUGCAUUUGCAUCACUUAAAGAUGAUCCCGCGUUGUAUUAGCUAGUUGGUGAGGUAAAGGCUCACCAAGGCGACGGUACAUAGCCGACCUGAGAGGGUGAUCCGCCAACAUGGGACUGGGACACGGCUCCAACUCCUACGGGAAGCAGCCGGAGGGAAUCUUCGGCCAAUGACGAAAGUCUGACCGGACAACGCCGGGGGGGUGAAUAAGGUUUUCGGAUCGUAAAACUCUUUUGGUAGAGAAGAACGUUAGUUAGAAUGGAAUACUCAUCAAGUGACGGUAACUACCCAGAAAGGGACGGCUAACUACGUG